AGAGUUUGAUCCUGGCUCAGGACGAACGCUGGCGGCGUGCUUAACACAUGCAAGUCGAACGGAAAGGCCCUUCGGGGUACUCGAGUGGCGAACGGGUGAGUAACACGUGGGUGAUCUGCCCUGCACUCUGGGAUAAGCCUGGGAAACUGGGUCUAAUACCGGAUAGGACCACACACUUCAUGGUGAGUGGUGCAAAGCUUUUGCGGUGUGGGAUGAGCCCGCGGCCUAUCAGCUUGUUGGUGGGGUAAUGGCCCACCAAGGCGACGACGGGUAGCCGGCCUGAGAGGGUGACCGGCCACACUGGGACUGAGAUACGGCCCAGACUCCUACGGGAGGCAGCAGUGGGGAAUAUUGCACAAUGGGCGCAAGCCUGAUGCAGCGACGCCGCGUGAGGGAUGACGGCCUUCGGGUUGUAAACCUCUUUCAGUAGGGACGAAGCGAAAGUGACGGUACCUACAGAAGAAGGACCGGCCAACUACGUGCCAGCAGCCGCGGUAAUACGUAGGGUCCGAGCGUUGUCCGGAAUUACUGGGCGUAAAGAGCUCGUAGGUGGUUUGUCGCGUUGUUCGUGAAAACUCACAGCUUAACUGUGGGCGUGCGGGCGAUACGGGCAGACUAGAGUACUGCAGGGGAGACUGGAAUUCCUGGUGUAGCGGUGGAAUGCGCAGAUAUCAGGAGGAACGCCGGUGGCGAAGGCGGGUCUCUGGGCAGUAACUGACGCUGAGGAGCGAAAGCGUGGGUAGCGAACAGGAUUAGAUACCCUGGUAGUCCAA
RNAcentral lists this ribosomal RNA (773 nucleotides) under uncultured bacterium. RNAcentral describes it as "bacterial SSU rRNA". It matches the Rfam family "Bacterial small subunit ribosomal RNA", at positions 8 to 798 of the family's 1533-position model. The record is from RNAcentral.